GAUGAACGCUGGCGGCGUGCUUAAUACAUGCAAGUCGAACGAAGUUUGUAGCAAUACAUUCUUAGUGGCGAACGGGUGAGUAACGCGUUGGUGACCUGCCCCGAAGAGGGGGAUAACAGUCCGAAAGGACUGCUAAUACCCCAUGUGAUCCCCGGUUUUAGAAUCUGGUGAUUAAAGGCGAAAGUCGCUUCGGGAGGGGCCUGCGUCCCAUCAGCUAGUUGGUAGGGUAAUGGCCUACCAAGGCUAUGACGGGUAGGGGACCUGAGAGGGUGGCCCCCACAAUGGAACUGAAACACGGUCCAUACACCUACGGGUGGCAGCAGUAGGGAAUAUUGGUAAUGGGCGAAAGCCUGAACCAGCAACGCCGCGUGUGCGAUGAAGGCCUUCGGGUCGUAAGCACUUUUGGUAGGGAGUGAGGAAGGACAGUACCUCCAGAAUAAGACUCGGCUAACUACGUGCCAGCAGCGCGUAAACUAGUCUACG
RNAcentral lists this ribosomal RNA (483 nucleotides) under uncultured bacterium. RNAcentral's name for it is "bacterial SSU rRNA". It matches the Rfam family "Bacterial small subunit ribosomal RNA", at positions 28 to 531 of the family's 1533-position model. The record is from RNAcentral.